RNAcentral lists this ribosomal RNA (440 nucleotides) under uncultured bacterium. Its description in RNAcentral is "partial 16S ribosomal RNA". It matches the Rfam family "Bacterial small subunit ribosomal RNA", at positions 338 to 795 of the family's 1533-position model. The record is from RNAcentral.
CCUACGGGAGGCAGCAGUGGGGAAUUUUGCGCAAUGCUCGUAAGAGUGACGCAGCGACGCCGCGUGAGUGAAGAAGUAUUUCGGUAUGUUAAGCUCUAUCAGCAGGGAAGAAAAUGACGGUACCUGACUAAGAAGCCCCGGCUAACUACGUGCCAGCAGCCGCGGGAAUACGUAGGGGGCAAGCGUUAUCCGGAUUUACUGGGGGUAAAGGGAGCGCAGACGGGUGUGCAAGUCUGGGGUGAAAGGCGGGGGCCCAACCCCCGGACUGCUCUGGAAACUGUGAGGCUGGAGUGCAGGAGAGGUAAGCGGAAUUCCUGGUGUAGCGGUGAAAUGCGUAGAUAUUAGGAGGAACACCAGUGGCGAAGGCGGCUUACUGGACUGCAACUGACGUUGAGGCUCGAAAGCGUGGGGAGCAAACAGGAUUAGAUACCCCUGUAGUC